UGGGGAAUCUUGGACAAUGGGCGCAAGCCUGAUCCAGCCAUGCCGCGUGGAUGAUGAAGGCCUUAGGGUUGUAAAAUCCUUUCGCCGAGGACGAUAAUGACGGUACUCGGAGAAGAAGCUCCGGCUAACUUCGUGCCAGCAGCCGCGGUAAUACGAAGGGGGCUAGCGUUGUUCGGAUUUACUGGGCGUAAAGCGCGUGUAGGCGGGUCGUUAAGUUGGUGGUGAAAUCCCGAGGCUCAACCUCGGAACUGCCUUCAAAACUGGCGACCUGGACCUAAGUAGAGGCAAGUGGAAUUGCGAGUGUAGAGGUGAAAUUCGUAGAUAUUCGCAGGAACACCAGUGGCGAAGGCGACUUGCUGGACUUAUGGUGACGCUGAGACGCGAAAGCGUGGGGAGCAAACAGGAUUAGAUACCCCAGUAGUCCCUGAGCGGGCUGGCAAGGCGCAU
This 447-nucleotide ribosomal RNA is filed under the name uncultured bacterium. RNAcentral's name for it is "bacterial SSU rRNA". It matches the Rfam family "Bacterial small subunit ribosomal RNA", at positions 355 to 825 of the family's 1533-position model. The record is from RNAcentral.